RNAcentral lists this ribosomal RNA (408 nucleotides) under uncultured bacterium. Its description in RNAcentral is "partial 16S ribosomal RNA". It matches the Rfam family "Bacterial small subunit ribosomal RNA", at positions 29 to 526 of the family's 1533-position model. The record is from RNAcentral.
AGUGAACGCUGGCGGCGUGCCUAAUACAUGCAAGUCGAACGGAGUGGCGCACGGGUGAGUAAUGUAUAGCUAAUCCGCCCUACACUAGAGGACAACAGUUGGAAACGACUGCUAAUACUCUAUAGUGUAGGAGGGGGCGAUAUUGUAUCAGCUAGUUGGUGAGGUAAUGGCUCACCAAGGCUAUGACGCAUCACUGGUCUGAGAGGAUGAUCAGUCAUACCUGAACUGAGGCACGGUCGGGACUCCUUCGGGAGGGAGCAGUAGGGUAUAGUGCUCAAUGGGCGUAUCCCUGAAGGGGCAACGCGGCGUGGAGGAUGACACUUCGCGGAGCGGAAACUCCUUUUGUUAGGGAAGCGGUACCUAACGAAUAAGCACCGGCUAACUCCGUGCCAGCAGCCGCGGUAAUUC